Molecule: ribosomal RNA, 447 nt
Filed under: uncultured bacterium
Lineage: Bacteria
Description: bacterial SSU rRNA
Rfam family: Bacterial small subunit ribosomal RNA
Source: RNAcentral
AACGAACGCUGGCGGCAGGCCUAACACAUGCAAGUCGAGCGCCCCUUCGGGGGAGCGGCGGACGGGUUAGUAACGCGUGGGAACGUGCCCUUCUCUACGGAAUAGCCUCGGGAAACUGAGAGUAAUACCGUAUACGCCCUUAGGGGGAAAGAUUUAUCGGAGAAGGAUCGGCCCGCGUUGGAUUAGGUAGUUGGUGGGGUAAUGGCCUACCAAGCCGACGAUCCAUAGCUGGUUUGAGAGGAUGAUCAGCAACACUGGGACUGAGACACGGCCCAGACUCCUACGGGAGGCAGCAGUGGGGAAUCUUAGACAAUGGGGGAAACCCUGAUCUAGCCAUGCCGCGUGAGUGACGAAGGCCCUAGGGUCGUAAAGCUCUUUCGCUAGGGAAGAUAAUGACGGUACCUAGUAAAGAAGUCCCGGCUAACUCCGUGCCAGCCGCCGCGGUAA